GUGGGGAAUUUUGGACAAUGGGCGCAAGCCUGAUCCAGCAAUGCCGCGUGCAGGAAGAAGGCCUUCGGGUUGUAAACUGCUUUUGUACGGAACGAAACGGCUCUGGUUAAUACCCGGGGCUAAUGACGGUACCGUAAGAAUAAGCACCGGCUAACUACGUGCCAGCAGCCGCGGUAAUACGUAGGGUGCAAGCGUUAAUCGGAAUUACUGGGCGUAAAGCGUGCGCAGGCGGUUGUGUAAGACAGGCGUGAAAUCCCCGGGCUCAACCUGGGAAUUGCGCUUGUGACUGCACAGCUGGAGUGCGGCAGAGGGGGAUGGAAUUCCGCGUGUAGCAGUGAAAUGCGUAGAUAUGCGGAGGAACACCGAUGGCGAAGGCAAUCCCCUGGGCCUGCACUGACGCUCAUGCACGAAAGCGUGGGGAGCAAACAGGAUUAGAAACCCUAGUAGUCC
RNAcentral lists this ribosomal RNA (450 nucleotides) under uncultured bacterium. RNAcentral's name for it is "partial 16S ribosomal RNA". It matches the Rfam family "Bacterial small subunit ribosomal RNA", at positions 354 to 796 of the family's 1533-position model. The record is from RNAcentral.